GACGAACCGUGCGAACGUUGUUCGGAAUCACUGGGCUUAAAGGGCGCGUAGGCGGGCCGGCCGGUCCGCGGUGAAAUCCCCCCGCUCAACGGGGGAACGGCCGCGGAUACCGCCGGCCUCGAGGGGGGUAGGGGCGAGCGGAACGCUGGGUGGAGCGGUGAAAUGCGUUGAUAUCGGAAGGAACGCCGGUGGCGAAAGCGACGUGCUGGACACCUUCUGACGCUGAGGCGCGAAAGCCAGGGGAGCAAACGGG
RNAcentral lists this ribosomal RNA (253 nucleotides) under uncultured bacterium. Its description in RNAcentral is "partial 16S ribosomal RNA". It matches the Rfam family "Bacterial small subunit ribosomal RNA", at positions 524 to 776 of the family's 1533-position model. The record is from RNAcentral.